RNAcentral lists this ribosomal RNA (253 nucleotides) under uncultured bacterium. Its description in RNAcentral is "partial 16S ribosomal RNA". It matches the Rfam family "Bacterial small subunit ribosomal RNA", at positions 524 to 776 of the family's 1533-position model. The record is from RNAcentral.
UACGUAGGGGGCAAGCGUUGUCCGGAAUCAUUGGGCGUAAAGAGCGCGUAGGCGGCCCUGUAAGUCCGCUGUGAAAGUCAAGGGCUCAACCCUUGGAUGCCGGUGGAUACUGCAGGGCUAGAGUCCGGAAGAGGCGAGUGGAAUUCCUGGUGUAGCGGUGAAAUGCGUAGAGAUGCGGAGGAACACCAGUGGCGAAAGCGACUUUCUGGUCCUUAACUGACGCUGAGGCGCGAAAGCAUGGGGAGCGAACGGG